RNAcentral lists this ribosomal RNA (506 nucleotides) under uncultured bacterium. RNAcentral describes it as "partial 16S ribosomal RNA". It matches the Rfam family "Bacterial small subunit ribosomal RNA", at positions 29 to 523 of the family's 1533-position model. The record is from RNAcentral.
AGUGAACGCUGGCGGUAGGCCUAACACAUGCAAGUCGAACGGCAGCACAGAGGAGCUUGCUCCUUGGGUGGCGAGUGGCGGACGGGUGAGGAAUACAUCGGAAUCUACUCUGUCGUGGGGGAUAACGUAGGGAAACUUACGCUAAUACCGCAUACGACCUACGGGUGAAAGCAGGGGACCUUCGGGCCUUGCGCGAUUGAAUGAGCCGAUGUCGGAUUAGCUAGUUGGCGGGGUAAAGGCCCACCAAGGCGACGAUCCGUAGCUGGUCUGAGAGGAUGAUCAGCCACACUGGAACUGAGACACGGUCCAGACUCCUACGGGAGGCAGCAGUGGGGAAUAUUGGACAAUGGGCGCAAGCCUGAUCCAGCCAUACCGCGUGGGUGAAGAAGGCCUUCGGGUUGUAAAGCCCUUAUGUUGGGAAAGAAGUCCAGCUGGCUAAUACCCGGUUGGGAUGACGGUACCCAAAGAAUAAGCACCGGCUAACUUCGUGCCAGCCGCCGCAGUAA